AUUGAACGCUGGCGGUAUGCCUUACACAUGCAAGUCGAACGGUAGAGGAGCAAUCCUUGAGAGUGGCGAACGGGUGAGUAAUACAUCGGAACGUGCCCAGUCGUGGGGGAUAACGUAGCGAAAGCUACGCUAAUACCGCAUACGACCCGAGGGUGAAAAGCGGGGGACUCGCAGGAGCCUCGCGCGAUUGGAGCGGCCGAUAUCAGAUUAGGUAGUUGGUGGGGUAAAGGCUCACCAAGCCAACGAUCUGUAGCUGGUCUGAGAGGACGACCAGCCACACUGGAACUGAGACACGGUCCAGACUCCUACGGGAGGCAGCAGUGGGGAAUUUUGGACAAUGGGCGCAAGCCUGAUCCAGCAAUGCCG
This 366-nucleotide ribosomal RNA is filed under the name uncultured bacterium. Its description in RNAcentral is "bacterial SSU rRNA". It matches the Rfam family "Bacterial small subunit ribosomal RNA", at positions 30 to 399 of the family's 1533-position model. The record is from RNAcentral.